AUUUUAUCAAUUUUUUAUUGUUGGUUCCAAUUUUAUUGAUUUAGCUCUGAUUUUAAUUAUUUCUCAGUCUUAUAUUGCUUUUGGUAUUGAUUUAUUCUUCUGUUUCUAGGACUUUGAGGUGUAACCUUAGGUCACUUAUUUGUUGACUUCUUCUUCUUUUGAGGAAUGAACUCCAUGCAACAAACUUUCCUCUUUGGACUGCCUUUACAGUGUCCCAGAAAUUUCAAUAUGUUGUAUCAGUGUUCUCAUUUACCUCUAAGAAUUUUUUAAUCUCCUCUUUGAUGUCUUUUGUAAUCCAUUGUUCAUUCAAUAGCAUGUUACUUAGUCUCCAAGUUUGGGAGAAGCUUCUAUUUUUCAUUUUAUCAUGGAUUUCUCAUUUCAUUCCAUUAUAAUAUUAUAGAAUGCAGGGCAGUAUCUCUAUUUUUUUUUGUAUUUACUAUGAGUUGCUUUGUGGAAUAAUAUAUGGUCCAUUUUAGAGAAAGAUCUGUGUGUUUCUGAGAAGAAAGUAUAUUUUCUCAUUGAAGGAUGAAAUAUUCUAUAUAUGUAAGUUAAGUCUAUGUUAUUGAUUGUAUUAUUGAGUUCUAUAGUUUCUAUGUUUAGCUUUUGUUUGGAAGAUCUAUCCAGUGGUGAAAUAGGUAUGUUAAAGUCAUCCAGAUUUAUUAUGUUGUGGUCUAUUUGACUCUUGAAAUUGAGAAGAGUUUAUUUAAUGAAUAUAGAUGGUCCACUGUUUGAGACAUAUAUAUUUAAAAUUGUUAUGUCUUGUUGAUGUAUAGUUCCCUUAAGCAGUAUGAAAUGUCCUUCUUUAUCUCUUCUCAUUAAAUUUGGUUCGAAGUCUACUUUAUUUGAUAUGAGGAUGUAAAUACCUGCUUGCUUCUACAGUUCAUGUGAGUGGUAUGACUUUUCCCAACCUUUCACCUUCAGAAUUUUUCUAUGAGACAAGUCUUUCAAAGGCAAAUAUUGUUGGGUCUUUUUUUAAAAAAUACAACCUUCUAGUGGUGAUUUUAGACUAUUAACAUCAGGGUUAUUAUUGAGAUACGAUUUAUAUUCCAAGUCAUAUUUGUUUAUUUUUGGCAUUUAAUUUGACUUGGUUUCUCCUUUGAUUAUUAUUUCCUUUAGUGUAAUUACUCCCUUUGAUGAUUUCCAUUUUUGUUUUUUAUUUGCUCCCCAUGGAAUGUUUUAUUAAGGACGUUCCAUAGUGCAGGCUUUCUAGUUGUAAAUUAUUUUAACUUUUGUUUAUGAUGGUGUUUAUUUUGUUGUCAAAUCUAAAGUUUAAUUUUGCUGGAUGUAAGAUUCUUAGUUGCCAUCCAUUUUCUUUCAGAGAUUAAUGUAUGUUGUCCUAGGAUCUUCUGUUUUUUGGGGUCUGGGUUGAAAAAUCUGAAGAUAUCUUAAUAGGUUUCCCCCUAUAUAUAAUCUGAUUUGUUUCUCUUGUGGCUUUUAAUAGUCCUCUUAUUCUGUAUGCAAGGCAUUUCCCUUAUAGAGUGUCUUGGAGUGGGACUGGUGUGAUUUUGUGCAUUUGGCAUUCUGUAAGCCUUUUGUAUGUGGUUUUUCUAAUUCAUUCUUCAUGUUUGGAAAUUUUUUUGAUAUUAUUUUAUUGAAUAGAUUGUUCAUUCCUUUGGUUUGGAACUCUAUGCCUUCCUCUAUCCGAAUUAUUCUUAACUUCAGUCUUUCGUGCUAUCCCAUAUUUCUUGAAUAUUCUGCCCAUGGUUUCUUACCAUUUUACUGUGUGGUCAAAUUCUUUUCAAGAUUAUGUAUUUUGUUCAUUGUCUGAGGUCAUGUCUUCCCAGUGAUCUAAUCUGUUGGUGAUGUUUUCUAUUGAAUUUUUAAUUUGGUUUAUUGUUUCUUUCAUUUUAAGGAUUUCUGAUUCUUUCUUCCUUCCUUCCUUCCUUCCUUCCUUCCUUCCUUCCUUCUUUUUUCUCAGAAGCUCUAUCUGCUUAUUGAAGCAAUCUUUUGCUUCCUGAAUUUGCUCAUGUAGCUCUUUAUUGAAAUGAUCUUUUGCUGCCUCUAUUUGCUCUCUUACAUCAUCCUCUAAUUCACAGAACAUUUUAAUUAUGUACAUAAUGAACUCCUUCUCUGAAAUUUCUUCUGUUGUGCUGGCCAUGGAUUCUAAUAACUUAGUAUCUUUGUUUGUUGGGGGCACUUUUUUCCCUUGUUCUUUCAUGUUGUUCCUGUGUCUUCCCUUCUAGCACUGUGGAUCCGAGGCAUUACAGUGUAGUCUUAUAGCAUCCCUUUAGGUUUCCAAUACCACUCCUUCAAGGGGGAGAACAAGGUGAACAGAUCCCAAUACAAACAAUAUACAACCUUAAACCCUACACCUACUAUUAAGCCAUUUUCGGUUUUGUCUCAAUAUACAGAAAUGGUGUUCAAUUCUUAUCUACAAUAUAAACAGUAGGUUUGCAAAAGGGUCUACAGUUUCUGAUGUUGGACAAAGAACCAAGGGUGAGGUGUUGGAUGAGAUGUUGAUGGUGUAGGAGUUGAGGAUAUAGAGUUAAUAGAUCUUAGUGUGAAUGAGGAAUCUAAAGAAGUUGGUUAUUAGCAGAAGAGAGAAAGUGAUUUCAGAGAUACAAGUAAAUGGGAAGAUAAUAGAGUACAAAAAACAACCAAAGGUAAAUAUUAAGAAACAUAAAAAAUGUAAAAAUAGAAGAUAAAGUUAUAUUCAACACCACUGUAUUUUACUAUUCAAACAUCCCAGUCCUCAGUAGCCUAGUUCAUGAAAAGUACUUUGUUACACAAACAUUGGAAAUGUGAGGGCAGGAGGAGAGAGAGAGAGAGAGAGAGAGAGAAGAAAUGAAAGCAAAAUCUUGAAGGUAAAUAUAAGAAUUUUUGCUGUUGGAGAUCAGUAUCUUUCCAUCUUCCCUUCUCACCUAAUAGGUGGGGUGGUUUUCUGUGUGCUGGUACCACCAACCCCAGGAUGGUAAAGGUUAUUAGGAUGGGAGGGUUGGUCUUGGGGACCUGGUUGCUGGAGAUGGAGUAUAGUACUUGCUGGUCCCUGAUAGGAGAUUUCACUCCAAGUAUCUCUUUUGGGGCUCACUAGUUUGAUGUGGGCUUCUGGUCUUAUCUCCUUAUAUCACCUGUGGAUCUUGCAAUUAUUGAUUUCUAAUUUAGUCUCUAAACUGUAUCUCACUCCCCCACCCUUUCUACUUCCCAAUCAGGAACCUUUGUCUCCAGAGAUCUUGUGCACUGUGCUCUGGGAGCUGUGCACCUCUUGUGGGAGAGCUGUUUUAUAUUGAGCAGUUCAGACCUCUGUUUUGCGACCUGGUUUUGUGAUCUACACACUGACCAGAGACUGGUUGCCUAGCCACAGGCAAUGUGUCAGGUUAGCCUCUGUUGGGGAGAGAGGGAAUUUGGGGACUUUUGGUAACUUAAUGUUGUUUCUAAUCCCCAGCCAGUAUUCCAAGCUGGGGGAGUUGCAUGAACUAAUGAUGGGGAAGAAGGUGUCCAAAGGUGGAGGUGGCUGCUUUUAGCUAUAGGCUGUCGGGUGUGUGUGGGGGUGCUCUAGAGGUAGUUGAAAGAUGCAGCUCUGUGGUGUGAAAUAUUGUGGCUGGUGACCAUCACUAGACCUAGCACAGUGUCCCCAGGUGCAGGCUAACAUUUACAGAGGACUGUGGCAGUGGUUGCAGUGCCCCAAGGUGAAGGCAACUGGAGGAACACCACUGGUAGCUGGGGAUAGACACAGGAGUGGUAUCCAGAAUUCCUUUCAUGGGCUGCUGCCAGGUUUUCUGCUGUGGGAGCUUCAGCAAAGAGUCCUGCAUUGACAUUGAGGCUUGGACACCUGCUCAUAUGUGGCUGCCGAGAUUCCUGUGUGGAGUAGUUCUGGGGGUCCUCUAAUCACUUGCAGAGAAACAGUAUUCCCACUAUUUGAAUCCCGAAUCCAGAAGCGUCAACGGAAUGCAGCUUCCCUCUAUCUAGCCCACCCUGUUGGAUCCAUCUCCAGAGAGUUAGCUUUUAAUUGUAUGGUUUUACCAAAUUAUCUGGUCAAAUAUAUUUUUAAAUAACAGUGGAUUUUACAAAACAUAUUUAAGAAAAUAUGCUCAACUUGAAUAUUUCUGCACUGUCCAUAAAAGACAGUGCUAUGUUGAAAAGGAGUGAUUAGAGUGGACAUUUACCCUGUUUCUUAUCUUAGGGUGAAAAUGUUCAGGUUUUUGCUUUUGGGUUGAUAUUAGUUGUGGGUUUUUUACAGAUUCUCUUUAUCAGGUUGAGCUAAUUCUUCCACUAUAUAAGCCAAUGAGUAUGUGUUGAAUAUAUGCUGAAUAUAUUUUGGGGUUUGUCAAAUAGAUUAUUUUUCUUCAUUCAUUAAUGUGACCAUACAUAAUUUUUUCCUUAAAUUAUUGUUAUGAUAGAUUACUUUUUUUUCAAAAAAUUGAAACAGACUUACAUUCCCAAAAUAAAUUCCACUCAAUUUUUUUUAAAUUCUUUUCUUAGUGCACUAGAGCUGAUCCUAAUUAUGGGGUUUAUUUUAACAUAAUAAUACUAGCACGGAAUAUAAUUAGUUCAGCUUCAUUUCACUUUACCUCUCCUCCUUCCUCUCCCUGUUUCCUUCCCUUUACUCUAUUGGUCUUUCUUACAUUUAUCUGUCUAUCUAUCUAUCUAUCUAUUUCUUAAAUUAGUACUCUAUGCACACACACAAAGGUGAAACUCACCAUGGUACAUCCAUACAUGCACACAACACAACUUAGUCAAGCCUAUUCUCUCCUUUCCCAUUCCUCUCCUUUCCCAUUCUUUCUUCUUCCAUACCAGGGCUGUUCCUAUGCUCUAGUGACCUUCUUUCUACUUCAUGAGGUUCCCUCACCCCUGUCCUUUCCUCUUACGUUUAUCUAUCUUCUGAAUAAAAAAAAAAUGUUGACCCUUUACUUUCUGAUCCUGACUUAUUUCACUUAGCAUGAUGCUUUGCAAUUUAUCCAUUUUUAACCAAAUGCCAUAAUUUAUUUUUUCUUUAUGACUGAGUAAAUCUCCACUAUUUGUAUAUGUCACAUGUUCUUUAUACAUUCAUCUGUUGAUGGACCCCUGGGCUGGUUCCAUAACUUGGCUACUGUGAGUUGUACUUCCAAGAACACUGAUAUGUCUGCAGCACUCUAGUAUGUUAUAUUUAUUUCUUUGGGAUAAAUAUUGAAGAGUGACAUAGCUCUUUCACAAGAUAUUUCAUUCCUAGUUUUUUGAGGAAUCUCCAUACUGCCUUUCAGAGUGAUUGUACUAAUGUGCAGUCCUACUAACUGUAUAUGAGUAUACCCUUUCUCCUGCAACCUCAUCAGGAUCUAUUAUUAUAUGUAUUAUUAAUGAUUACCAUCUGAUUGGAGUGAGAUAAAAUCUAAAACAGUUUUUAUUUGCAUUUCCCUGAUUGCUAGAGAUGUUGAUCAUUUUUUCAUAGAGUUCUUUGUCAAUUGUAUUUCUUCUUUUGAGAAGAAUCUGUUUAGUUUUGUUCAUCUAUUAAUUAGGUUGUUGUUUUGUGUUUUCUGAGUUCCUUAUAUAUUUUGAAUAUUAAUCCCAUGCUAGAGGAGCAGGUGACAAAGAUAUUUUCCCAUUUUGUAGGCUUUCUCCUCAAGCUCAUGUUUCUUUUUCUGUGAAGAAGUUUAAUAAUUAGAUGCCAUCACACUUAUUGAUACUUGUUUUUAUAUCUUUUGUUUUAGGAAUUAUAUUAAGAAAGUCAAUCCCUGUGCCAAUAUGUUUAAGUAUUCAGCCUGUGUUUUCUUACAGCAGUUCCAAUGAUUCUGGUUUGAUUUUUAAAUCUUUUAUCAACUUCACGUUGACUCUUGUUCAGGGUGAGAGAUACGGGUCUAGUUUCAUUCUUUUACAUAAGGAUAUACAGUUUCCCCAGCACCAUUUGUUAAACAGGCUAUUUUUUUCUCCAAUGUAUGUUGUUUGCACAUUUGUUGUAAAUCAGAUAGCUAUCAAUGUAGAUUUAUAUCUUUCUUUUAUUGUAUUCCUUUGAUCUUGAUUUCAAUUUUCAUGUCAAUACCAUGCUGUUUUCGUUACUAUAGCUCUGAGGUAUAAUUUGGGAUCCUGUAUUGUGAUAACUCUAGCUUAACUCUUUUUGCUCAUGACUGCCUUGAAUAUUCUGGUUCUCUUUUAUUCUUCCAAAUAAACUCAGGACUUUUUUCCUGUUCUAUGAAGAAUGUCAUUGUAUUUUGAUGAUGAUUGCUUUAAAUCUGGAUAACACAUUUGGUAAUAUGAACAUUAAUUUUGCCUACCCAGAACAUAUUCUUUUCAUCUUCUAUAGGUCUUCUUCAAUUUCUUUCUUUAGUGUUUCAUAUUUUUCACUGUAGGUUCUUCACAUCUUAGUGAUAUUUAUCCUCAAUUUUUCUAUUUUUCUUUUUUAAGGCUAUUGUGAAUGGAAUCAUUUUUUUAAAAUUUCUUUCUCAACAUAUUUAUGAUUGGAGUAUAGAAAAGCAAUUGAUUUAUAUAUAUUGAUAUUGUAUCCUGCUAUUUUACUGAAUUUGUUUAUCACCUUUGAAAGCCUUUAGUGGAGUGAUUGGGUCUCCUAAAUAUGGGAUUAUGUCAUCAAAAAACAGAGUUUGACUUAUUUUCCUAAAUUUGUAUUCCUUUAAUUUCCUUAUCAUGCUUGAUUGCUCUUGCUAGACAUUCAAGAACUGUAUUGAAUAGUAAUGGUGAGAGUGGACAUCUUCAUCCUGUUCCUGAUUUUAGAGGAAAUGCUUUCAUAUAUUCUCCAUUCAGUAUAUUGUUGGCCUUUGUCUGUCAGAUAUAGUUUUUAUAAUGUUUAGGUCAGUUUCUUUAGGUGGUGUAUCAUUUUGCUUUGGCUGUUUUUAUGAUAGCUUUUCUUUAUCUUACAAAAUUUAAAAAUGAUAAAUCCUGAAAUCAAUAUUUUGGGUGCUUCCUGUUUUGGGUUUGCUCACCUUCUUGGAUCUGUGGAUUUUCUUCAUCAGAUAUGGAAAGUUUACAACCAACAUUAAACUCAACAUCUCCUAGCCUCAGUUCUUUCUCCAUUACUUCUAUAACAUUAACAUUGUAUAUUAUUUUGGGGGGUAAUUUUUGUUUGGAUAUUAUUCUCUCUGUAUUUUUGAUUGAAUGAAUUAUAUUAUUCUGUCCUUACAUAAACUGAUUUUAUCCUUUCUGCUCUAUUACUAAACCUAACCUAUAAUAUUUUUCCUAUUAUUUUGUUUUUCUAUUCUAUAAUUUCAAUUUGAUCUUUUGCAAUUUCUAUU
RNAcentral lists this long non-coding RNA (7154 nucleotides) under Marmota monax (woodchuck). The record is from RNAcentral. Lineage: Eukaryota; Metazoa; Chordata; Mammalia; Rodentia; Sciuridae.